CAGUAGCCGCGGUAACACGUAGGGUGCGAGCGUUAAUCGGAAUUACUGGGCGUAAAGCGUGCGCAGGCGGUUAUAUAAGACAGAUGUGAAAUCCCCGGGCUCAACCUGGGACCUGCAUUUGUGACUGUAUAGCUAGAGUACGGUAGAGGGGGAUGGAAUUCCGCGUGUAGCAGUGAAAUGCGUAGAUAUGCGGAGGAACACCGAUGGCGAAGGCAAUCCCCUGGACCUGUACUGACGCUCAUGCACGAAAGCGUGGGGAGCAAACAGGAUUAGAUACCCCCGUAGUCCCUGUCUCUUAUAC
Molecule: ribosomal RNA, 301 nt
Filed under: uncultured bacterium
Lineage: Bacteria
Description: partial 16S ribosomal RNA
Rfam family: Bacterial small subunit ribosomal RNA
Source: RNAcentral